AAAGGUAACAUGGAGAAGACUGGAGAGGAGCUAUGAGAGUACAACAAUGAAAAGGAAGACCUAGAUGAGACCCUGUGGCAGACACUGUAGGUCCUGAUGAAGAUGUUUCCAGAGAUGGUUCAGUUGCACAGUCCAUGCCACUUACAAUCUCCUCCUCUUUGUGACUCAGAAAAUGUACAGGUUUUCCAGGGCAGCUGUGUCUAUUGAGACCACCUCCUUUAUGUUACUCGUUCUUGCUUUCAUCUUUGAGACUGAGAAGUUGCAAGUGGAGCAAAAGCAGCAAUGAUAGAAGCAAAAGACACUUCUCUAGGC
This 312-nucleotide long non-coding RNA is filed under the name Homo sapiens (human). RNAcentral's name for it is "non-protein coding lnc-RPS4Y2-3:1". The record is from RNAcentral. Lineage: Eukaryota; Metazoa; Chordata; Mammalia; Primates; Hominidae.